GCGGGCGUAGCUCAAUGGAUAGAGCAACGGUCUUCUAAACCGUAGGUUGUGGGUUCGAGCCCCGCCGCCCGCGCCA
Molecule: transfer RNA, 76 nt
Filed under: Kouleothrix aurantiaca
Lineage: Bacteria; Bacillati; Chloroflexota; Chloroflexia; Chloroflexales; Roseiflexaceae
Also listed under: 3 other names
Description: tRNA-Arg
Rfam family: tRNA
About the family: Transfer RNA (tRNA) molecules are approximately 80 nucleotides in length. Their secondary structure includes four short double-helical elements and three loops (D, anti-codon, and T loops).
Source: RNAcentral